Molecule: ribosomal RNA, 468 nt
Filed under: uncultured bacterium
Lineage: Bacteria
Description: partial 16S ribosomal RNA
Rfam family: Bacterial small subunit ribosomal RNA
Source: RNAcentral
GACGAACGCUGGCGGCGUGCUUAACACAUGCAAGUCGAACGGAAAGGCCCUGCUUUUGUGGGGUGCUCGAGUGGCGAACGGGUGAGUAACACGUGAGUAGCCUGCCCUUGACUUUGGGAUAACUUCAGGAAACUGGGGCUAAUACCGGAUAGGAGCUCCUGCUGCAUGGUGGGGGUUGGAAAGUUUCGGCGGUUGGGGAUGGACUCGCGGCUUAUCAGCUUGUUGGUGGGGCAGUGGCUUACCAAGGCUUUGACGGGUAGCCGGCCUGAGAGGGUGACCGGCCACAUUGGGACUGAGAUACGGCCCAGACUCCUACGGGAGGCAGCAGUGGGGAAUAUUGCACAAUGGGCGGAAGCCUGAUGCAGCAACGCCGCGUGCGGGAUGACGGCCUUCGGGUUGUAAACCGCUUUCGCCUGUGACGAAGCGUGAGUGACGGUAAUGGGUAAAGAAGCACCGGCUAACUACGUG